Molecule: ribosomal RNA, 450 nt
Filed under: Streptococcus mitis
Lineage: Bacteria; Bacillati; Bacillota; Bacilli; Lactobacillales; Streptococcaceae
Description: bacterial SSU rRNA
Rfam family: Bacterial small subunit ribosomal RNA
Source: RNAcentral
GACGAACGCUGGCGGCGUGCCUAAUACAUGCAAGUAGAACGCUGAAGGAGGAGCUUGCUUCUCUGGAUGAGUUGCGAACGGGUGAGUAACGCGUAGGUAACCUGCCUGGUAGCGGGGGAUAACUAUUGGAAACGAUAGCUAAUACCGCAUAAGAGUAGAUGUCGCAUGACAUUUGCUUAAAAGGUGCAAUUGCAUCACUACCAGAUGGACCUGCGUUGUAUUAGCUAGUUGGUGAGGUAACGGCUCACCAAGGCAACGAUACAUAGCCGACCUGAGAGGGUGAUCGGCCACACUGGGACUGAGACACGGCCCAGACUCCUACGGGAGGCAGCAGUAGGGAAUCUUCGGCAAUGGACGGAAGUCUGACCGAGCAACGCCGCGUGAGUGAAGAAGGUUUUCGGAUCGUAAAGCUCUGUUGUAAGAGAAGAACGAGUGUGAGAGUGGAAAGUU